RNAcentral lists this transfer RNA (82 nucleotides) under Amphibalanus amphitrite. Its description in RNAcentral is "tRNA-Ser". It matches the Rfam family "tRNA". From Rfam's summary of the family: Transfer RNA (tRNA) molecules are approximately 80 nucleotides in length. The record is from Rfam by way of RNAcentral. Lineage: Eukaryota; Metazoa; Arthropoda; Thecostraca; Balanomorpha; Balanidae.
GACGAGGUGGCCGAGUGGUUAAGGCGUUGGACUGCUAAUCCAAUGGGGUCUCCCCGCGUGAGUUCGAAUCUCAUCCUCGUCG